This 391-nucleotide ribosomal RNA is filed under the name uncultured bacterium. RNAcentral describes it as "bacterial SSU rRNA". It matches the Rfam family "Bacterial small subunit ribosomal RNA", at positions 29 to 419 of the family's 1533-position model. The record is from RNAcentral.
AUUGAACGCUGGCGGAAUGCUUUACACAUGCAAGUCGAACGGCAGCACGGGGCAACCUGGGUGGCGAGUGGCGAACGGGUGAGUAAUACAUCGGAACGUGCCCAAUCGUGGGGGGAUAACGUAGCGAAAGUUACGCUAAUACCGCAUACGAUCUACGGAUGAAAGCGGGGGAGUCGCAAGACCUCGCGCGAUUGGAGCGGCCGAUGUCAGAUUAGGUAGUUGGUGGGGUAAAGGCUCACCAAGCCGACGAUCUGUAGCUGGUCUGAGAGGACGACCAGCCACACUGGGACUGAGACACGGCCCAGACUCCUACGGGAGGCAGCAGUGGGGAAUUUUGGACAAUGGGCGGCAAGCCUGAUCCAGCCAUUCCGCGUGCAGGAUGAAGGCCUUC